ACAAAGAAGUAAAAUUUACAUUUAGUUUCGACCUAAAAAUAGGAAGAAUUCCUCCCGUGUU
This 61-nucleotide transfer RNA is filed under the name Eurhadina cuii. RNAcentral describes it as "tRNA-Arg". Lineage: Eukaryota; Metazoa; Arthropoda; Insecta; Hemiptera; Cicadellidae. The record is from RNAcentral.